Molecule: ribosomal RNA, 137 nt
Filed under: Pelobates cultripes (western spadefoot toad)
Lineage: Eukaryota; Metazoa; Chordata; Amphibia; Anura; Pelobatidae
Description: SSU_rRNA_eukarya
Source: RNAcentral
AUAGCAAUACAGAACUCUUUAGAGGCCCUGUAAUUGUAAUGAGUCCACUUGAAAUCCUUUAACUCUGAACAAUUGGAGGGCAAGUCUGGUGCAGAGCCACUGACCCGUGCGUGCUGCAGCUGAAACGCCUGCUGCUG